GACGAACGCUGGCGGUGUGCUUAACACAUGCAAGUCGAACGGUAAGGCCCUUUCGGGGGUACACGAGUGGCGCACGGGUGAGUAACACGUGAGUAACCUGCCCUCAUCUCUGGGAUAACAGUCGGAAACGGUUGCUAAUACUGGAUAUGAGCCUGCAAGGCAUCUUGUGGGUUGGAAAGAUUUUUUGGUUGGGGAUGGACUCGCGGCCUAUCAGCUUGUUGGUGAGGUAGUGGCUCACCAAGGCUUCGACGGGUAGCCGGCCUGAGAGGGCGACCGGCCACAUUGGGACUGAGAUACGGCCCAAACUCCUACGGGAGGCAGCAGUGGGGAAUAUUGCACAAUGGACGGAAGUCUGAUGCAGCAACGCCGCGUGCGGGAUGACGGCCUUCGGGUUGGAAACCGCUUUCAAUUGUGACGAAGCUUUUUGUGACGGUAGCAGUAGAAGAAGCACCGGCUAACUACGUG
Molecule: ribosomal RNA, 465 nt
Filed under: uncultured bacterium
Lineage: Bacteria
Description: partial 16S ribosomal RNA
Rfam family: Bacterial small subunit ribosomal RNA
Source: RNAcentral